This 561-nucleotide ribosomal RNA is filed under the name uncultured Alphaproteobacteria bacterium. Its description in RNAcentral is "bacterial SSU rRNA". It matches the Rfam family "Bacterial small subunit ribosomal RNA", at positions 338 to 916 of the family's 1533-position model. The record is from RNAcentral. Lineage: Bacteria; Pseudomonadati; Pseudomonadota; Alphaproteobacteria.
CCUACGGGAGGCAGCAGUGGGGAAUAUUGGACAAUGGGGGCAACCCUGAUCCAGCCAUGCCGCGUGAGUGAAGAAGGCCCUAGGGUUGUAAAGCUCUUUCAGGUGUGAGGAUGAUGACAGUAGCACCAGAAGAAGCCCCGGCUAACUUCGUGCCAGCAGCCGCGGUAAUACGAAGGGGGCUAGCGUUGUUCGGAUUUACUGGGCGUAAAGGGCGUGUAGGCGGACGAUCAAGCUAGGGGUGAAAGCCCAGGGCCCAACCCUGGAAUUGCCCUUAGAACUGGUUGUCUAGAAUCCGUAAGGGGAGUGUGGAAUUCCUAGUGUAGAGGUGAAAUUCGUAGAUAUUAGGAAGAACACCAGUGGCGAAGGCGGCACUCUGGUACGGUAUUGACGCUGAGGCGCGAAAGCGUGGGGAGCAAACAGGAUUAGAUACCCUGGUAGUCCACGCCGUAAACGAUGUCUGCUAGCCGUUUGGGCACUUAGUGUCUGGGUGGCGCCGCUAACGCAUUAAGCAGACCGCCUGGGGAGUACGGUCGCAAGAUUAAAACUCAAAUGAAUUGACGG